AUUAUGUUAUACUCUUAUAUUGCGUGAAUGUAUGGUUCCUGGUGUUAAUUUAUAUGAUGUAUAUCUUUACCGAGUCAAAUGCUCAAUUCUAUUUAUCUAUUUUUCAAAUUAUGGUUUUACUUAACUAUUCUAGCCCAGAUGCAUCUAUUUUCACACAUCCAAAGUCCAGAUACAUGCAUGAAUAAGAAAGAGUGUGAUCACUCCCUUGUGCAAG
RNAcentral lists this unclassified non-coding RNA (214 nucleotides) under Hevea brasiliensis (rubber tree). The record is from RNAcentral. Lineage: Eukaryota; Viridiplantae; Streptophyta; Magnoliopsida; Malpighiales; Euphorbiaceae.